Long non-coding RNA from Eufriesea mexicana, 815 nucleotides. RefSeq lists it as uncharacterized. The transcript has 3 exons. Lineage: Eukaryota; Metazoa; Arthropoda; Insecta; Hymenoptera; Apidae. The record is from RefSeq and is a predicted model, not a curated record.
AAAAUUUCAACUGACAUUGGAAGUUUUGAUAAAGAUCACUUGCAUUAUCGAUAGUAACUGAAUUGAAGAGAUUUAAAUACGAACAAUCAUAGAAAUGAAACGAAUCGUAGGGCAAAGGUAACUUGGCACAGACGUAUUCGUCAUUGGGAUCCGUAGGUCUGUUAUUCCGUAUGUUCUUAAUUUAUUCUAAAUUUGGGAUACUAAGUAUCUUCAAGCUAUAUGGAGACACUACUUUCAUUAUUUUACGACUUAUACAUUAUUUUUAGAUAAAAACGACGGUUAUGUAUUGGAAUAACGAAAAUUAAGUUCGUGUCAUUAGUCAACAAUCUUCUUAAUCUACUGUAAAACAAGUUAAAAUUCAACAGGAAGUACCCGGUUAGACUGUAGUUAUCCAUAGAAAGUAAGAUAAAAUAGAAAGUCUAGGAGACCAUGUAUACGCGGCAAAUUCAAACGCGUAUUGUGACGCGCUACAAUGCGGAAGUAACGAGGAGAAAAAGAGAAAGGAUUCGAUUCGGACGAAAUUCCAUGGAAAAGUUGUAAAAUAUGACACACACACGCACACGUGUCUCCGUUAGGCGUUUACGUCAUGUAUCCAAGAUGGGCUAUGCUUGUACAAAAACGAAUCACUGAAAUGAAACGGAGAGACGCAAAUUGCAAAUGCGAAAUGUUUAAUUUUAUACAUCGUGGAUGUAACAUCGAAGCGUUGAAAGAGAGGCCAGAAAAUGCGGAAGAAUAAUAAAGAGAGAUAUAAUAACAUUCGUUGAAUCGAGUAGGAAAGUACGCGCUAAAACGAAUGUUUAUUUUUCCUUUUGUUG